This 434-nucleotide ribosomal RNA is filed under the name Crepidodera aureola. RNAcentral describes it as "partial 16S large subunit ribosomal RNA". The record is from RNAcentral. Lineage: Eukaryota; Metazoa; Arthropoda; Insecta; Coleoptera; Chrysomelidae.
GGCCUUUUGUUAAUGAUUUAAGGUCUGGCCUGCCCACUGAGUAUUUAAAUGGCCGCGGUAUUUUGACCGUGCUAAGGUAGCAUAAUCAUUAGUUUUUUAAUUGAAAGCUAGUAUGAAAGGUUGAAUGAAAGAAUUUCUGUCUCUAAUUAAUUUUAUUAGAAUUUUAUUUUUAAGUUAAAAAGCUUAAAUUUUUUUAAAAGACGAGAAGACCCUAUAGAGUUUAAUAUAAUAUAAAAUUUUUUAGAUUUGGAAUUUAAUUUAAAAAAUAAAAUGUAUAUUUAAUUGGGGUGAUUAAAAAAUUUAAUUAACUUUUUUUUUAUUAUUAUAUUGAUUUAUAAAUAUAUGAUCCAAAAUUUUUGAUUAUAAGAAUAAAUUACCUUAGGGAUAACAGCGUAAUUUUAUUAUAGAGUUCUAAUCGAAAAUAAAGUUUGCGA